Molecule: long non-coding RNA, 333 nt
Filed under: Numida meleagris (helmeted guineafowl)
Lineage: Eukaryota; Metazoa; Chordata; Aves; Galliformes; Numididae
Description: lncRNA (ENSNMEG00000020987.1)
Source: RNAcentral
CAGGAAGCAGGUGGGUCCAUGCCUGACACCAGGGACCCUGACUCCACUCACCGCAGAGCUUCAGGACAGAAAGAAGAUAAUUUUUUGCACACCUUCAACUGUCCCAGGUGGACCAAUGGACAUUGUUAAGGAUGCUGAUUUACAAGUGGAAUGAAUCCCAAGGGAGGCUUAUCAGUGGACAAGGUACCUAAGACGUGGAGAUGCACUGAAAAGAAAAUAAUUCAGAUGCCCAGGAUGAGUCCAGAGUAUAUGAUAAUGAAGAACAUUUGCUUGGCUGUGAACACCACCAGAAGGUAACUGUUUGUCAUAAAAUAAACAGGAUCUUCUCUGUCA